This 896-nucleotide long non-coding RNA is filed under the name Homo sapiens (human). Its description in RNAcentral is "HSALNT0128754". Lineage: Eukaryota; Metazoa; Chordata; Mammalia; Primates; Hominidae. The record is from RNAcentral.
AUGCAUUAUCUUAAUCAUUACAUCAGCCCUUUGAGGUAGGCAGAAUUAUGAUCUCUACUUCAUAGGUGAGGAAAAGGGGAUAAUAACGUAUCUGAUAUUUGUUGCUUGCUGUCUGUGUCAGCCUCUAUCCUAGACUGAUAACAUGAAAGACUAGGAUGAGGUAUUAAGGUCGUCUGUGAAGUAGAGUAGAUGUUUGAGAGAGAAUGUGUGUGGGUGAUGGAGAAUUACUCCAUUUGUUCUAUAGUCGAGUAUAAUGUUAUCUAAUAUUGCUGUUAUUUCUUAAGUCCUCUUGAGUAAGUACUCUACUAUUUCACUAGCUUACUUUACAAUACUAGACAUUUGCCUGGUUACAGAUAAUUUUCCUCAGUUUGGGUCUACUUUGGGACUAAUCAACUCCCAGAAAAUAAAUUCUUUACUGCUGACUGCCUGAAAUACACAUGUGGCCUUUUGCACAGCUAUACUAAAUAUUGUGAGGCCCAGUGAUCCAUUUGUAGCUAGCUGAGCUGAAACGUCGUAGGGCUUGGCUUCCAUAGCGUAAUUGAUGUUUGCUGUAUCCCUUUCUGUGGUGUUCUUGUCAGGUGCUUAGUUUCUAGUUUCUACUCAUUAUGUGUUGUUUUGUUUUGUUAUUUUUUUAUUUUAUUUUAUUUUUUUUGAGGUGGAGUCUCGCUCUGUCUCCCAGGCUGGAGUGUAGUUGCGCGAUGUCCGCUCACUGCAAGCUCCGUCUCCCAGGUUCAUGCCAUUCUCCUGCCUCAGCCUCCUGAGUAGGAUUACAGGCGCACACCACCAUGCCCGGCUAAUUUUUGUAUUUUUAGUAGAGACGAGGUUUCACCAUGUUGGCCAGGCUGGCCUUGAACUCCUGACCUCAGGUGAUCCACCUGCCUCAGCCUCCCAAAGUG